UUCGAAGGUACGCUAAUUACGGUCGGACAUCGUGAUGAUAGUGCAAUGGCAUAAGCGUGCUUAACUGCGAGACUGACAAGUCGAGCAGGUACGAAAGUAGGACAUAGU
RNAcentral lists this ribosomal RNA (108 nucleotides) under Hucho hucho (huchen). RNAcentral describes it as "rRNA (ENSHHUG00000012795.1)". It matches the Rfam family "Bacterial large subunit ribosomal RNA", at positions 2309 to 2416 of the family's 2925-position model. The record is from RNAcentral. Lineage: Eukaryota; Metazoa; Chordata; Actinopteri; Salmoniformes; Salmonidae.